This 201-nucleotide long non-coding RNA is filed under the name Elaeis guineensis (African oil palm). RNAcentral describes it as "long non-coding RNA (EGUI_LNC069718)". The record is from RNAcentral. Lineage: Eukaryota; Viridiplantae; Streptophyta; Magnoliopsida; Arecales; Arecaceae.
CUCUUUUGGGUUGCCUUCUUUGGAAAACAGAGCUUAAUUAGGAUUUGAUCAAAUGUCUGUCAUGCCCUAGGCCAAGAUUGCAAGCCAACAGUUGCAGCAACCACUGUAUACUCAUGGAGAACUCUCUCCACAAGUAUACAAGAUAUUCCAACAUGAUAUCACGAGGCAACAAUAGAACAAAUAAUCAAUAAAUUAAUCUUC